Molecule: long non-coding RNA, 541 nt
Organism: Lingula anatina
Lineage: Eukaryota; Metazoa; Brachiopoda; Lingulata; Lingulida; Lingulidae
Source: RefSeq, a predicted model, not a curated record
AAAGCCAUUUGAAUAUACUGAUGCCACUUGGUUCAGGCAUAUUUGAGAAGUGUUAUUUGACACACAUAGAUCUUAUGGUCAGCAAAAGAGUCCAAAGUCUUGCAGAAACUGAAACUAGUGUGGAAAUGACGGCUGUUGUAGAAAGGCAUGUAUGUAAAUGAAAGCCACAAUAUAACAAAUGCUGAGGAGAUGCAUGAGGCCCUAGUUUCUGCAGUUGGAGCCAUUUUCUACAUCCAGCUAGACAGACAUCUUCCAAACCUGCAUGGACUGGAGUGUCCAAUUACAACAAUUUAGCUUUCUUGAUUCCUACAACAUGAGAAAAGGUGUCUCCCUUCCUUGAGCAGUUUUAAAAUGAGUGAUACUGAUGUUAAAGUUAAUUUGGGUUUUUCUGAGGCAAAUGUGCCAACUGGGACUAUACCAAGCAAGAUCACAAACAGGGAAAUAUUUUCUUGUCCAGAGAAGUUUUCUCUGAAAUCUUUUGCUACUAAGACUGAAGAGUAUUUGUAAGGUCCUUUUUUAGACCACAGUUAUGAAAUGUGCC